UUUGUAGAGAUGGGGGUCUCAUUAUGUUGCACAGUCUGGCCUUGAACUCUUGGCUUCAAGCAAUCCUCCCACCUCAGCCUCCCAAAGUGCUGAGAUUACAGGCACCAGCUACCCUGCCUGGCCCAGGCUGUCUUCUUAGACAUGCUGAGCACCCUGAGUGGACCUGGCCCUGAAACUGCCCCCAGGGGUGACCCUAGUCCUGGUGGCAGACAGGCAAGGGUUAAAAGGUGUGGGCCGGCCCAGUUCCUGGCCAGGUAGGCUGGGCCAUUACCUAGUGGGAGGUGGCCAAGGCAUCUGCCACUGCUGCUGACUGCCACUACCAGCCGGAGCCAGGGCCUGGUCGAGACAACUAUUUUUGAGGUAUCUGAGGCUACCCCACAGCACUCUCUGGCAUUGGUGAGCACCUGGGAGCAGUGGGCCCAGGGUGCGAGGGGGAUAAGGGCAUUGGGGAGCUGGGGCAGGGUGUACUGAAGUUCCCUUCGGUAGAGAGCUAGGUCUGUGGGAGAGGCACACCAACAAUGCAGGGCAGGGUGGUGGUGGGGGGGUAGGGGGGCAGUGAGAAUGGAGGGCCUGAGGACAGGGGCAAAGCCCAAAACACCAAUUUCCUUUCCUGGCACCAAGCCGAUUCCCGGCCGGAAAUGGACGAGGAGGGAUCGGGGAAAAGAGAAGUAUGAGUCCCCCCUUCUCCACCCUAUCCCUGCUUCCUUUCCUCCCCGCCAGGAGUAGCCUCUGUCCUCCCCCAACCCAGGGCCCAGCUCUCCAAGAAAGACCAGACUGGGCUACUAAGAAACCAUUACUCAGGCACCUGCCUGCCUAUGCCUGAUUUGUUCACUGCAGUGGAGGAAGCAGGGGCUCUGGGGAGGGUAAUGGCCCAGACAUUGAGAUUUUGUAUUUGCUCUAAUAGUGGCAGGAUGUGGAAAUGACCCCCCAACUGUUGGGGUGCCACCCAGGUGAGGUAUCUUGGUUGUAAACAGUUAUUACAGCCAGGAAUUUCUUUCUCGGCUGUGGUGUCAGAAUGGCAGACCUGAAAAACCUGCCGGGCCCGCCUCUGGGUGUGGGGGGUGCCCUCUACUGCUCUCCCGCUGCAGCUGGUCCCUGGGACAGGAUGGGGGCCAUGGGGUCACUGGUAGGGGGAGACCUGGGGUUGGUGUGGGGGUGUGCUGGGGAGGGGUUUGCUGGGAUCCCUUUCUCGCCAUCUGGGCGGGGAUGAGGCAGCUCCAGGCCCCAAGGCAAGUAUGCAGAGGGCAGGUGAGCGGAGGCAGAAGCUUAGGAACUGGGUGUGGGGGUGUGGGGCGUUGACUGUGUCUAGCCUGCCCAGUGACCCCAUGACUCAUACUCUAACUAUGUCCCCCCGAGGUCGGGCUGAUAGGGAGGAGUUGGGGUUCCUGUGUGGACCCUGUCUGGACUUCCAGGACGCUCUGAGAAAUUAGAGAAGAAAGGAUUGGCUGGGAUUACAGCCGUGAGCCACUGCACCCAGCCCCAAUCCACCACUUUUUAAGCAAACCCACACAAGUUGUGUUUUCUAUGAUACCUGUCUGUGAUUUUCGGAGCUGGGGGUUCCCCUACCCCCUUUUCCUGGCGUUAAGCUUUUCUUUUUAUACCAGUGGAUCUGGACCCAAGACAUUACCCACACUGGAAGGGGAUUUGUAUAAUAAAUGUGUAAACUG
This 1667-nucleotide long non-coding RNA is filed under the name Homo sapiens (human). RNAcentral describes it as "non-protein coding lnc-MAGIX-1:2". The record is from RNAcentral. Lineage: Eukaryota; Metazoa; Chordata; Mammalia; Primates; Hominidae.